This 254-nucleotide ribosomal RNA is filed under the name uncultured bacterium. RNAcentral's name for it is "partial 16S ribosomal RNA". It matches the Rfam family "Bacterial small subunit ribosomal RNA", at positions 524 to 776 of the family's 1533-position model. The record is from RNAcentral.
UACGUAGGUGGCGAGCGUUAUCCGGAUUUAUUGGGUUUAAAGGGAGCGCAGGCGGCUAAUUAAGUCAGUGGUUAAAGGCAGCAGCUUAACUGUUUUACAUGCCAUUGAUACUGGUUAGCUUGAGUUGACGGAAGGCAGAUAGAAUUUCUGGUGUAGCGGUGAAAUGCUUAGAUACCAGAAGGAAUACCGAUUGCGAAGGCAGUCUGCUGCGGUCACACUGACGCUGAGGCUCGAAAGUGCGGGGAUCAAACAGG